This 251-nucleotide ribosomal RNA is filed under the name uncultured bacterium. RNAcentral describes it as "partial 16S ribosomal RNA". It matches the Rfam family "Bacterial small subunit ribosomal RNA", at positions 111 to 353 of the family's 1533-position model. The record is from RNAcentral.
UAACACGUAGGUAACCUGCCCAUGUGUCUGGGAUAACUGCUGGAAACGGUAGCUAAAACCGGAUGGGUAUACGGAGCGCAUGCUCUGUAUAUUAAAGCGCCCCUCAAGGCGUGAACAUGGAUGGACCUGCGGCGCAUUAGCUAGUUGGUGAGGUAACGGCCCACCAAGGCGAUGAUGCGUAGCCGGCCUGAGAGGGUAAACGGCCACAUUGGGACUGAGACACGGCCCAAACUCCUACGGGAGGCAGCAUG